GAUGAACGCUGGCGGCGUGCCUAAUACAUGCAAGUCGAGCGAACGGACGAGAAGCUUGCUUCUCUGAUGUUAGCGGCGGACGGGUGAGUAACACGUGGAUAACCUACCUAUAAGACUGGGAUAACUUCGGGAAACCGUAGCUAAUACCGGAUAAUAUUUUGAACCGCAUGGUUCAAAAGUGAAAGACGGUCUUGCUGUCACUUAUAGAUGGAUCCGCGCUGCAUUAGCUAGUUGGUAAGGUAACGGCUUACCAAGGCAACGAUGCAUAGCCGACCUGAGAGGGUGGUCGGCCGCACUGGAACUUGGACACGGUCCAGACUCCUACGGGAGGCAGCAGUAGGGAAUGUUCCGCAGUGGGCGAAAGCCUGGCGGAACAGCGCCGCGUGUGUUAUGAAGGUCUUCGGAUCGUAAAACUCUGUUAUUGGGGAAGAACAUAUGUGUAAGUAACUGUGCACAUCUUGACGGUACCUGAUCAGAAAGCCACGGCUAACUACGUG
This 497-nucleotide ribosomal RNA is filed under the name uncultured bacterium. RNAcentral describes it as "partial 16S ribosomal RNA". It matches the Rfam family "Bacterial small subunit ribosomal RNA", at positions 28 to 507 of the family's 1533-position model. The record is from RNAcentral.